AAGAAUCUGGGUUCUGUGACUCAGUACUAGCGUCCAUAGCUCAGGAGUUGGAGCUAACAAGUAAACAAAAGCACCUUUGUUACUCAAAACCUUGGACCCAAAAGGUUUACCUAUCCAUUCAGAAUGCUUAAAAGCACCAAAACGAUUCUGCAGAACCCCAUCCUCACUGACUUUCACUGCUUUCAUUGUGUCGUGCCUCUCGUACACAAUGACCAAAUCUCCAUCUUUAAUAAAACGCUUAAACGAUAAUUUAUUUGCUGGGUCAAUU
RNAcentral lists this unclassified non-coding RNA (268 nucleotides) under Hevea brasiliensis (rubber tree). Lineage: Eukaryota; Viridiplantae; Streptophyta; Magnoliopsida; Malpighiales; Euphorbiaceae. The record is from RNAcentral.